UUUAGACCUCAAAUCAGUCAGGACUACCCGCUGAACUUAAGCAUAUCAAUAAGCGGAGGA
Molecule: ribosomal RNA, 60 nt
Filed under: uncultured fungus
Lineage: Eukaryota; Fungi
Description: partial 28S ribosomal RNA
Rfam family: Eukaryotic large subunit ribosomal RNA
Source: RNAcentral